CAGGUACAGCGGGAAGCCAGGCGGCGACGCCGAGCGGAACCCGAAAACCUGUCUCAGUUCGGAUCGGAGUCUGCAACCCGACUCCGUGAAGCUGGAUUCGCUAGUAAUCGCGCAUCAGCCAUGGCGCGGUGAAUACGUUCCCGGGCCUUGUACACACCGCCCGUCAAGCCAUGGAAGCCGGGGGUGCCUGAAGUGUGCAGCCGCAAGGAGCGCCCUAAGGUAAAACCGGUGACUGGGGCUAAGUCGUAACAAGGUACC
This 258-nucleotide ribosomal RNA is filed under the name uncultured bacterium. RNAcentral describes it as "partial 16S ribosomal RNA". It matches the Rfam family "Bacterial small subunit ribosomal RNA", at positions 1234 to 1500 of the family's 1533-position model. The record is from RNAcentral.